This 468-nucleotide ribosomal RNA is filed under the name uncultured bacterium. Its description in RNAcentral is "partial 16S ribosomal RNA". It matches the Rfam family "Bacterial small subunit ribosomal RNA", at positions 28 to 507 of the family's 1533-position model. The record is from RNAcentral.
GACGAACGCUGGCGGCGUGCCUAACACAUGCAAGUCGAACGGAAAGGCCCCGCUUUUGUUGGGCUCUCGAGUGGGGAAAGGGGGAGUGACACGUGAGGAACCCCUCCCUGUAUUUGGGGUAAAUUCUGGAAAAUGGGGCUCAUAUCCGAUAGGAGCUCCUGCUGCGCGGGGGGGGUUGGAAAGUUUCGGCGGUUGGGGAUGGGCUCGCGGCUUAUCCGCUUGUUGGUGGGGUAGUGGCUUUCCAAGGCUUUGACGGGUAGCCGGCCUGAGAGGGUGACCGGCCACAUUGGGACUGAGAUACGGCCCAGACUCCUACGGGAGGCAGCAGUGGGGAAUAUUGCACAAUGGGCGGAAGCCUGAUGCAGCAACGCCGCGUGCGGGAUGACGGCCUUCGGGUUGUAAACCGCUUUCGCCUGUGACGAAGCGUGAGUGACGGUAAUGGGUAAAGAAGCACCGGCUAACUACGUG